CAACUCUCGGCAAACGGAUAUCUUGGCCCCCGUACCGAUGAAGAGCGCAGCGAAAUGCGAUACGUAGUGUGAAUUGCAGAAUUCCGCGAACCACAGAGACCUUGAACGCACUUGGCGCCCGAGGCUUCGGCCGAGGGCACGUCCGUCUGAGCGUCA
RNAcentral lists this ribosomal RNA (156 nucleotides) under Nitella pulchella. Its description in RNAcentral is "5.8S rRNA". It matches the Rfam family "5.8S ribosomal RNA". Rfam says of the family: 5.8S ribosomal RNA (5.8S rRNA) is a component of the large subunit of the eukaryotic ribosome. It is transcribed by RNA polymerase I as part of the 45S precursor that also contains 18S and 28S rRNA. Lineage: Eukaryota; Viridiplantae; Streptophyta; Charophyceae; Charales; Characeae. The record is from RNAcentral. RNAcentral also lists the same sequence under 1 other name.